UUUUUUUUUUUUUGAGAAAAUUCCAUCUUGUUUCCCAUGAGCGUUGCACCAGUGUAGAGUCCCAGCCAGAGCACAAGGGGUUCCUUUUCCUCCACAUCCUCACGCGUUAUUUGUUGUCCGACGAUGGCUGUCGUCAGCUGGCGCAAGGUGGCAUCGCGUGGAGCUUUGGCUCCGCACUUGCUGUGCGGUCAGUGACGCUGAGCAUCUUCCCUGCUUCUGCUCACCAUCUGCAUGUCUUCUCGCCAACCGAGAUUCCCACAUGAUGAGUAAGGCUUGAACACACCCGCAACUGUGGUCUGAAUUGCUUUCACGUUUCCUUCUACUAGGAAAUCUCUGAUCAUCCCUAUACCUUAAGCUUGGGAUAAAAGGGCUGCCAUGUAUGUGAGGCUCAGAUUUUUUUUCCAUAUGUACUUUCAGAUGCCUGGUGAGGCUUGCAAGUUGCGUAUAAGCUUUGCCACACUCAUGACAUUUGUAAGGUUUUUCUCCAGUAUGGAUGGUUUUGUGUUGGGUAAGAUAUGAAUGCCUUGUGAGGGCUUUGCCACACUCAUCGCAUUUGUAAAGUUUCUCUCCAGUAUGAGUUCUUUCAUGACCCCAAAGUUGCGACCGUUCAAUAAAAGCCUUCCCACAUUCAUUACACUGAUAAGGUUUCUCUCCUGUAUGAAUUCUCUGGUGUGCUAUGAGAUUUGAACGCUGGGUAAAGUGCUUGCCACACGCAUUGCAUUCGUGUGGUUUCUCUCCAGCAUGCAUUUUCUGAUGUCUGCUAAGGUGUGAAAACUGGCUAAAAGCUCUGCCGCAUUCAUCACACUUGUAAGGUUUCUCGCCGGUGUGCAUCCUCUGGUGAUUUGCAAGGUGUGAAUUUCACCUGAAGACCUUGCCACACACAUCGCAUUUAUAAGAUUUCUCUCCAGUGUGGACUCGCUGGUGUGUGGUGAGGUGUGAAUACUGGUUAAAGGCUUUGCCACAAUCAUUACAGAAUGAAUGAAUUCUCUUGUGACUUGUGAGCUUUCAUCUUUUGCUAAAAGCCUUCCCGCAGUCACUACAGGUGUAAGCUUUGUCUCUAGGGUGUGUUCUCCUGUGUUGUGCAGGUAACAAAGUGUUUUUCACACUAGGGAGAAUUCUUUGAAAUGAUGACACUGAGGAACCACUGACAGACGUCUCCACUUGACUGUAUUCAUACAUUUUCUCCUCAGCUGGAAAUCUCUACAGUUCGGCCACCUCUGCCUGCAGCCUUCCUCCAGUCUUGCUUUCCAGAUGCUUUAUAUCUUUGUUUCCAGCAGUGCUUGUGUUACUUCUCAUUUUUAGCACAUUUCUCAGGAAUAGCUUGUCAUGCAUGACAGAUUCACAUGGGUGACUUCUUACAGAAACACUCCGAGGAAAAUUAACUGAGGAUUUAUGAUCCUGAUCUUCUCUAUGAGAUUCUGUUGAGGGUCAGAAACCCUUCUUUGUAAUGUCUUGCAUCACAUCCCCACUCACUCUCAAACUUUUGGGUAUUUUCAGAGUCUUCCUUGAGAUCGAAAUUCUGAAUGCCAUGACUUAGUCCUUUGCGGUAUCACUAGACGGCAUGAUUCUCCUGUAUCAAUGUCCUCUCUUGGUGAUAAAUCCUUGAUUGCACGUCCGGGAGAAUAGAUUCCUAUUGAGUUGGAAAAUAAAUAUAUUGAAUUACAUAAUUACAAAAAAAUAUAAUACAUAAGUUUCUCAAGAAUGGUCUUCAGACGCUGUGAUAGAUUUUUUCUCUUUUUAUACUUUUUCCCUUAAUUUUUUUCUCUGAUCCUGGAUAAUAAAGUUUCGAGCACACACGACACACAUUUUUUGCAAUAUGACUUCUAAUUAAAUGAUACACCAUAGUUAGAAAACUGACCUAUCUAGUGGCUUAUUGACCUGGAGGAAUGAAAUCAUAACCGAGAGUUCAGUCUUCUCUCCUCCUCAAACUUUAUAAUGAUGUGUUUAAAACGUGACUUGAGGCAAGAAAAAAAAAAUCUAUACAGUACAGUAAAAACUGAUAAAAACAUUUUCAGGGGAGUUCCCGUCGUGGCGCAGUGGUUGACGAAUCCGACUAGGAACCAUGAGGUUAUGAGUUCGAUCCCUGGCCUCGCUCAGUCGGUUGAGGAUCUGGCAUUGCUGUGGCUGUGGUGUAGGCUGGUGGCUACAGUUCCGAUUAGACCCCUAGCCUGGGAACCUCCGUAUGCCACAGGAGAGGCUCAAGAAAAGGCAAAAAAGACAACUACAAAAAAACAUUUUCAUAACCCAUGAUAAUCUAGCAGGAAAGGGGUUAUGUCGCUUGACGGGUGACUGUCCUGGGAGUCCCGGCCGACAACCGAGUCCUGUUCUGCUCGUGCAACGUCUGCACAGAAACCAGGCGAUGCUGUCGAUCUGAGCAAACGAUCUGUGGGGCUGGACGGGGCUGGAGCAGCUGAGACCCCGACCUUGGAAAAGACCUGCCUGACCUUGGAAAAGACCUGCCACCGCAAGAGUCGUAACCGUGACUCACGCUCCAGGCACUCGUGAUGGAGCACGACGGCGCAUACUGUGAGAAAAAGCACGUAUGUGUGCACGUGUGCCUGGGUCACUUUGCUGUACAGUAGAAACUGACAGAUACGGUAAACCAACUGUAAUGGAAAAAUAAAAAUCAUUUAAAAGCAAAAUUAAAUAAAAUGGGGAUAACAAA
RNAcentral lists this long non-coding RNA (2665 nucleotides) under Sus scrofa (pig). RNAcentral describes it as "lncRNA (ENSSSCG00045029199.1)". Lineage: Eukaryota; Metazoa; Chordata; Mammalia; Artiodactyla; Suidae. The record is from RNAcentral.